Non-coding RNA from Podarcis lilfordi (Lilford's wall lizard), 73 nucleotides. The record is from the annotation of a GenBank genome assembly. Lineage: Eukaryota; Metazoa; Chordata; Lepidosauria; Squamata; Lacertidae.
GGAUAGCUCAGCUGGUUAGAGCACGGUACUGAUAAUGCCAUGGUUGCUGGUCCAAUCCCUCUAAGGGGCAGCU